This 1372-nucleotide ribosomal RNA is filed under the name uncultured bacterium. RNAcentral describes it as "bacterial SSU rRNA". It matches the Rfam family "Bacterial small subunit ribosomal RNA", at positions 28 to 1381 of the family's 1533-position model. The record is from RNAcentral.
GAUGAACGCUGGCGGCGUGCCUAAUACAUGCAAGUCGAGCGAACGGACGAGAAGCUUGCUUUUCUGAUGUUAGCGGCGGACGGGUGAGUAACACGUGGAUAACCUACCUAUAAGACUGGGAUAACUUCGGGAAACCGGAGCUAAUACCGGAUAAUAUUUUGAACCGCAUGGUUCAAAAGUGAAAGACGGUCUUGCUGUCACUUAUAGAUGGAUCCGCGCUGCAUUAGCUAGUUGGUAAGGUAACGGCUUACCAAGGCAACGAUGCAUAGCCGACCUGAGAGGGGGAUCGGCCACACUGGAACUGAGACACGGUCCAGACUCCUACGGGAGGCAGCAGUAGGGAAUCUUCCGCAAUGGGCGAAAGCCUGACGGAGCAACGCCGCGUGAGUGAUGAAGGUCUUCGGAUCGUAAAACUCUGUUAUUAGGGAAGAACAUAUGUGUAAGUAACUGUGCACAUCUUGACGGUACCUAAUCAGAAAGCCACGGCUAACUACGUGCCAGCAGCCGCGGUAAUACGUAGGUGGCAAGCGUUAUCCGGAAUUAUUGGGCGUAAAGCGCGCGUAGGCGGUUUUUUAAGUCUGAUGUGAAAGCCCACGGCUCAACCGUGGAGGGUCAUUGGAAACUGGAAAACUUGAGUGCAGAAGAGGAAAGUGGAAUUCCAUGUGUAGCGGUGAAAUGCGCAGAGAUGUGGAGGAACACCAGUGGCGAAGGCGACUUUCUGGUCUGUAACUGACGCUGAUGUGCGAAAGCGUGGGGAUCAAACAGGAUUAGAUACCCUGGUAGUCCACGCCGUAAACGAUGAGUGCUAAGUGUUAGGGGGUUUCCGCCCCUUAGUGCUGCAGCUAACGCAUUAAGCACUCCGCCUGGGGAGUACGACCGCAAGGUUGAAACUCAAAGGAAUUGACGGGGGCCCGCACAAGCGGUGGAGCAUGUGGUUUAAUUCGAAGCAACGCGAAGAACCUUACCAAAUCUUGACAUCCUUUGACAACUCUAGAGAUAGAGCCUUCCCCUUCGGGGGACAAAGUGACAGGUGGUGCAUGGUUGUCGUCAGCUCGUGUCGUGAGAUGUUGGGUUAAGUCCCGCAACGAGCGCAACCCUUAAGCUUAGUUGCCAUCAUUAAGUUGGGCACUCUAAGUUGACUGCCGGUGACAAACCGGAGGAAGGUGGGGAUGACGUCAAAUCAUCAUGCCCCUUAUGAUUUGGGCUACACACGUGCUACAAUGGACAAUACAAAGGGCAGCGAAACCGCGAGGUCAAGCAAAUCCCAUAAAGUUGUUCUCAGUUCGGAUUGUAGUCUGCAACUCGACUACAUGAAGCUGGAAUCGCUAGUAAUCGUAGAUCAGCAUGCUACGGUGAAUACGUUCCCGGGUCU